Amblyraja radiata (thorny skate) is the source of this 690-nucleotide long non-coding RNA. RefSeq lists it as uncharacterized. The transcript is spliced from 3 exons. NCBI's taxonomy places the organism in Eukaryota, Metazoa, Chordata, Chondrichthyes, Rajiformes, Rajidae. The record is from RefSeq and is a predicted model, not a curated record.
AAGGAUCAGAACUCAGUUCUGAAUAUAGUUCAGUUGUGUGCUUGACAGCUGAAUGCGGUUAUAGAAUGGACAGUUGAACCAUUCAUCAAUUAACAUGUUCUACCCAUUGUGAAGGACAUGCGUGUGUGUGCCUAGCUCCUCCUCACUGCCCUGAGAAAUUGCCUGUUACUUCUGUUCAUUUCUUCUCCAUUUGUUCGCAGGACACGUCACUGAAAGAUCAUGAUGCUGAGUAUCUCCAGCAUUCUCUCGGUAUGAACACCUGACUUACGGACACCCUUUGCAACCGAUUGAGCCCCAAUAAAUAUUAUUAAGUUCAAACGAGAAUCAGUCUUGAAAUAAAGUUUUCUGUUAUCUUCCCCACAUUAAUCAGAUACUAUUGUCUCUGAAGAACACAGGCCGCUAGCUUUACUAUGGGAGACCUGUGUGGACCAACAGGCUAGAGUAUUCAAGGGCAUCUUUAACCUCUUGCUUCUGUGCUCUGAGGUCCCCACCUGCUUCAAAAGAGCAUCUAUUGUACCGCUUGCCCAAGAAGAGCACAGUGGCCUAUCUCAAUGACUACCGUCCAGUAGUACUUGCAUCCACUGUAAUGAAGUGGUUCAAACCGUUAUUUAUGGCAGGAAUCAACUCCUGCUUCAGAAAUGAAUUGGGUCCACCUCAGGUUGCCAAUCGCCAUAACACGUCAAUGGCUGA